This 536-nucleotide ribosomal RNA is filed under the name Melipona grandis. RNAcentral's name for it is "partial 16S ribosomal RNA". The stretch from base 384 to 536 matches the Rfam family "Bacterial large subunit ribosomal RNA", at positions 2473 to 2626 of the family's 2925-position model. Lineage: Eukaryota; Metazoa; Arthropoda; Insecta; Hymenoptera; Apidae. The record is from RNAcentral.
CAAAACAUGUCUUAUUGAUAAUAAUUUUAAGUCGAUCUGCCCAAUGAUAAUUAUUUAAUGGCUGCAGUAUAACUGACUGUACAAAGGUAGCAUAAUCAAUUGGUUUUUAAAUGGAAUCUGGAAUGAAAGGAUUAAUGAAAUAUAUUCUGUCUCAUAUAUAUUUUAUGAAUUUAAAAUUUUAAUAAAAAUGUUAAAAUUUUUUUAUGGGACGAUAAGACCCUAUAGAAUUUUAUAUAAAAUUUUAUUUGUAAUUAAUAUAAAUUAAAAUUUUAUAUUUAAUUGGGAGAAUUAUUAAAUUUAAUAAAUUUUAAUUUUUAUAAACUUUGAUUUAAGAAAAUUAAAUUGAUCUUUAAUUUAAAAUUAAUAGAAUAAAUUACCUUAGGGAUAACAGCGUUAUAUUUUUUUAUAGAUCUUAUAGAAAAAAGUGAUUGCGACCUCGAUGUUGAAUUAAGAUAAAUUUUAAAUGCAGGAGUUUAAUAAUUAAGUCUGUUCGACUUUUAAUAUCUUACAUGAUUUGAGUUCAAAUCGACGUAAGU